CGACGACGUUGAUAGGUCGGGUGUGUAAGCGCAGCGAUGCGUUGAGCUAACCGAUACUAAUGAACCGUGAGGCUUAACCUU
This 81-nucleotide ribosomal RNA is filed under the name Enterobacter hormaechei. RNAcentral's name for it is "partial 23S ribosomal RNA". It matches the Rfam family "Bacterial large subunit ribosomal RNA", at positions 2845 to 2925 of the family's 2925-position model. RNAcentral also lists the same sequence under 9 other names. The record is from RNAcentral. Lineage: Bacteria; Pseudomonadati; Pseudomonadota; Gammaproteobacteria; Enterobacterales; Enterobacteriaceae.